GAUGAACGCUGGCGGCGUGCCUAAUACAUGCAAGUCGAGCGAACAGACGAGGAGCUUGCUCCUCUGACGUUAGCGGCGGACGGGUGAGUAACACGUGGAUAACCUACCUAUACGACUGGGAUAACUUCGGGAAACCGGAGCUAAUACCGGAUAAUAUAUUGAACCGCAUGGUUCAAUAGUGAAAGACGGUUUUGCUGUCACUUAUAGAUGGAUCCGCGCCGCAUUAGCUAGUUGGUAAGGUAACGGCUUACCAAGGCAACGAUGCGUAGCCGACCUGAGAGGGUGAUCGGCCACACUGGAACUGAGACACGGUCCAGACUCCUACGGGAGGCAGCAGUAGGGAAUCUUCCGCAAUGGGCGAAAGCCUGACGGAGCAACGCCGCGUGAGUGAUGAAGGUCUUCGGAUCGUAAAACGCUGUUAUUAGGGAAGAACAAAUGUGUAAGUAACUAUGCACGUCUUGACGGUACCUAAUCAGAAAGCCACGGCUAACUACGUG
Molecule: ribosomal RNA, 497 nt
Filed under: uncultured bacterium
Lineage: Bacteria
Description: partial 16S ribosomal RNA
Rfam family: Bacterial small subunit ribosomal RNA
Source: RNAcentral